Molecule: long non-coding RNA, 3585 nt
Organism: Amphiprion ocellaris (clown anemonefish)
Lineage: Eukaryota; Metazoa; Chordata; Actinopteri; Pomacentridae
Exons: 3
Source: RefSeq, a predicted model, not a curated record
AGAUUUAUAGCCUACUUUAAAAAAAAACAAACACAUGCAACAAUUUUAAAAUAUUAAAUGUGUUAUCAGGUAUGCAGUUCAUCUCAGGAGCCUGGAGGACAACCACUUGUAAUACUAGUAAAAUCCACUAGGGGUCAGUGCAGCCUAAAGAAAGGUGCCUCCAUCUGCUCUCGCACUGUGCACAGUCAUGAUAAUGUUAUUGUUCAUGAUGAUGAUGAAAGAUCCAAACAAUAACAUAUAACUCAAGCGGUGCAAAGCUCACAGGCACAUUUUACAAUUAGGGCAAUCAAGCAUCAUCUGCACAGAACGAUGUUGUGGAACAUUGUUAUAUAAUUGCAAAAUGGGUCCGUGGAUUGAGUAUUUAUCUGGCAAUUGGAUUUUCCGUUCUGAAACCGGUAUUGAAAAAAAAACGAGAGGUUAUUUGAUUUUCGUUUUAAAAUACAAAAAUUAAAUUUUAAAUACAAGGCGUUUUUCCUUUUCAUGAUCAAAAUGGAUGUACGAAAUAUUAAAAAUGCUUUGAUUUUCAUUUUAUAUUUAGAAUAACAAAAAAGUGAAAUCAGUAAGAGACAGAAACGAAAAAAGGUCCGUUUUUUCAUUUUCUGAGACCGGAAGUGGUCAUCAGCAAGUGUGGAGCCAAACUGAGUACGGUGCAUAGACUGUAUAUAUUUUUUUUUCGUUAGUUUUCAUGGUCAAAAUGAGAGAUCAGGUGGCCGAUCCUAAAAUAAAUCAAUAUUGAAUUUUUUAUAGAGCGUUAAAGUUUUGCGAAGCCAGGGGGCGGGGCUACUUGCUUGACAGUCUGGUCUGGAAUGAUUGACAGGUCCUAUGGAGGAGGCAGCAGAGACUCUGUUCUCCUUGUUUGGAUUAAUUCUGAUAUAAUAACUGUUGGUUUAUUUAUCGGUGCAGCAGCAGAACAUUUUCCACAGACAGUUUUCCUGCCCGUUGGCUUGUUUUAACCAGUUUUCUGCCUUCGGCUGAUUCUACCAGCAGACACUGAAAGGACUCUGAUAGUUCGAGUGAAAGUAGCAGUUCCUCCUUAAGGUCAGAGAUUGCAGCAUCUGAGGGCCUCUUGAAAGGAAACCGUAGUUGAUGAAGGCGUUCUGGAGCAGGACCAGAAAGACCACGACCAAGCAGCCUUGAGAUCUUAGGCAGCGUCUCCCUCAGAUCCACCAACCACUGGAACACAUCUCCAAAGUUCUGCCGGGCCAGCUCAGCUUCCCCUCAGAAGAAGUGCUGCCACCUGCCAGAUGAAGGAGCCUUUUGAGAGGCAGCUGGCAUCGUGAUUGGACUGUACUUUGGUCUGUUCCAAUCCAGCUUCAGCUCCAGAGACGGCAGGCGGGACGAGUCAACGGAGGCCGGGUGGACGAAGGCAUGCAGCUGAGUACAAUCCAGAAAACAACAGAGGAGGAGUGCAGCGGCCCAGGGCCAGAACAAAGAGAGUAGUCAAAGUCAAAGUCAGCUUUAUCGUCAAUUCUUCAAUAUGUACAUGACAUACCAAGAAUCGAAAUUACGUUAUGUUACGAGUGGCAUAGUAUGUCUCUUAGAAAACAUCAUAGUAUAGCCUUUGGAAUGAAAAAAACGCCAUAAUAUACAUCGUAUAUUAUACAAAUAACAAGUCAAAGGAAAGAGACAUACAUUGUAGAAUUGUAGUAAUUGUGGGCUAACUGAUUUACUGAUUAUCAGUAUGUUAUUUUUUACAGAUUUACGGUAAUAAAUAAAUUUAAAAAUGGCGCUACUUUGGCUCUGAAUCUUAAUCUACCUGUGGUCGCUCUGUCUUCUGGAGUGAUUUGAUUGGUUAUACGUCACGGAUAAAACUCCUUUAACUUAACAUCUGUAAACAAAACAAAAACGUAUCAACAAAGUUUUCUGUUAAAGUUUGUGUUCUUGUAAGUUUAACUCCAAGAUUUUAAAUACUUUCAUUUACUGCAAAUUAAUAUCUACUCCAAGUGUCUCACUAAUAAUCAUUAUCAGCCUUAAAAACCCACAAAACACCCCUCUAUUCUCCACCACACUUAGUACAGUCCGGUUCCCCCUUCUAUAAAUCUGCUUGGAAUCGUCCACUUCCUGUUUGUCAAAGUGGCCUUCUACCUGGACAGGUUUUGUUGGAGCUCAUGCAACAAACAUUUUGGGUAACUGCACUUUAAUAUGGAUGGAUGACACUGAAUUAGAGUCUUUUUUCAUGAGACUGAGUUAAGAUGUGUAGCUCUGUCAUUAAAUAGGAAAUUAUUUCUCAGAAUUCACAGAGAAAAGUCUGAAAUGUUUGCUAGGUUAGCGUCCCACAUGUUCUUUGGCUCAGCUAAAGCUAACUCUCUCCAACUUCUGGAUCUCUUGAGUUGCUUGUUGUUAAAAUAUCUUGCUAGAGGUGCUGAAGCUCAGAAAGUCUGAGAUGUUUGUUCAGAAUAAGCUCAUUCUCAAGUCUUAUCUGAACUGUCCUCUUUUGUUCUUUCUCUAAACUUAGGAGUUAAUGACAGAGCAGCACAUGCAGACUCAGUCUCAUUUAUGUAGAGAUUAAACUUCAGUGUCAUUCAUUGAUGUUAAAGUGCAGUUUUUCAAAUGUUUGUUGCACAUGCUCCCGACCAAACCAGUCCAGGUGGAAGACGAUGUGAAGAGAAAGCUCCAGAGGAUGAAUAUCACACAUUUACAUUGUAAAUAAAUGUCCUUUAAUUAGACAUUGUCAUGCAAAAGUUGGAUUUCCAUUUAAUGAUGUUCAAAUCUUUGUUGAGUGUUUUGUUGAUGUUGGUUUCUAAAUGUUUUCUGAUACUCGGCCCCAAAGAUUAAAACCUUCUACGGCUCACAAGCUGCAACAAUUCACACAUUAUCAACUAUCUUUCUGACUAAACUAAGAUAAAAAGUGAAAAACUGCCUGAUUCCUGCAUCAUGAAUGUAAAUCUUUUUGGUUUUUAUGACAGUAAACUGAAUAUAUUUGGGUUUGACAUUUUAUAAACCAAAACAAUAAAUGAAUUACUGGAGAAAACAACAGAUUAAUGGACAAAGAAAAUGUGUUUUCCAACAUAUAUGGCUGAAUUACUCCAACAUUACAAGAUACAUACAGUUUUAAUUCAAUUUUAUUUAUAUAACGCCAAUUACAGGUCAAAUUGUCUCAAGAUGCCUUAUUUUUAUAUUUUUUUUGUCAUAUUUAAAAUAUGACAAAGUAAGAAAUUUUAACCUCUUGACUAAUCCAAUUUAUUAUUUGGUUUUUAAGAGACUAAUGGACAACUAAAAUAACUUUCUCCACUAAAACUAAUAAACACGAGGUCAAAUAGAAGGAAGCGUUUUAAAUACUGCAGUCCCACGACGACAAGAAUAAAGUUUGUCAACACAAACUAAAUCUGCUGGUGGAUUCCAUUAAAGUCCAAAUAAAUGAUAAUAAAGUGUGAUACUAAAGGUUUGUGGUGCUAAAAAUAUCAAAGAUAUCAAGUUGAACAUCUGGAUGGAGGUUGAUAAAAGUUGACGUCCCUUUAUUUCUGUGGACCUGACUCCAUGGAUUUUAUGGAUGGUGGUUAAAGACCUGCUCUUCUAGUCGUCGUCCUUCUAGUCGCUGUAAAAAGUCAGUCCAUCCUGACCAACUUGAACACCUCUUCAUGACAA